AGAGUUUGAUCCUGGCUCAGGACGAACGCUGGCGGCGUGCCUAACACAUGCAAGUCGAGCGGAGCUUAGUUUGCAGCGACUUUGGUCAAAGCGAGCUAAACUUAGCGGCAGACGGGUGAGUAACACGUAGGUAACCUGCCCAUCACACGGGCAUAGCCCUGGGAAACCGGGGGUAAUACCCGAUACCUUUACGAUAUGGUGUAUUGUAAAGAAAGCGAAUAAGCGGUGAUGGAUGGGCCUGCGGCCCAUUAGCUAGUUGGUGAGAUAACAGCUCACCAAGGCGACGAUGGGUAGCCGACCUGAGAGGGUGACCGGCCACACUGGGACUGAGACACGGCCCAGACUCCUACGGGAGGCAGCAGUGGGGGAUAUUGCGCAAUGGGCGGAAGCCUGACGCAGCGACGCCGCGUGGGGGAAGAAAGCCUUCGGGUUGUAAACCCCAGUCAUCAGGGAUGAAUAGGACAGUACCUGAAGAGGAAGCCCCGGCUAACUACGUGCCAGCAGCCGCGGUAAUACGUAGGGGGCGAGCGUUGUCCGGAAUUACUGGGCGUAAAGGGCGUGUAGGCGGGGGUGCAAGUUAUCGGUAAAAACCCGAGGCUCAACCACGGGCCUGCCGAUAAAACUGCAUCUCUUGAGUGCAGGAGAGGGGAAUGGAAUUCCCGGAGUAGCGGUGAAAUGCGUAGAUACCGGGAGGAACACCAGUGGCGAAGGCGGUUCCCUGGCCUGUAACUGACGCUGAGGCGCGAAAGCUGGGGUAGCGAACGGGAUUAGAUACCCCGGUAGUCCCAGCCGUAAACGAUGGUCACUAGGUGUGGGGGGUGUUCAAGCCUUCCGUGCCGGAGCUAACGCAAUAAGUGACCCGCCUGGGGAGUACGGCCGCAAGGUUGAAACUCAAAUGAAUUGACGG
RNAcentral lists this ribosomal RNA (907 nucleotides) under uncultured bacterium. RNAcentral describes it as "bacterial SSU rRNA". It matches the Rfam family "Bacterial small subunit ribosomal RNA", at positions 8 to 916 of the family's 1533-position model. The record is from RNAcentral.